RNAcentral lists this ribosomal RNA (961 nucleotides) under human gut metagenome. RNAcentral's name for it is "bacterial SSU rRNA". It matches the Rfam family "Bacterial small subunit ribosomal RNA", at positions 368 to 1353 of the family's 1533-position model. The record is from RNAcentral.
ACAAUGGGGGAAACCCUGAUGCAGCGACGCCGCGUGGAGGAAGAAGGUCUUCGGAUUGUAAACUCCUGUUGUUGAGGAAGAUAAUGACGGUACUCAACAAGGAAGUGACGGCUAACUACGUGCCAGCAGCCGCGGUAAAACGUAGGUCACAAGCGUUGUCCGGAAUUACUGGGUGUAAAGGGAGCGCAGGCGGGAAGACAAGUUGGAAGUGAAAUCCAUGGGCUCAACCCAUGAACUGCUUUCAAAACUGUUUUUCUUGAGUAGUGCAGAGGUAGGCGGAAUUCCCGGUGUAGCGGUGGAAUGCGUAGAUAUCGGGAGGAACACCAGUGGCGAAGGCGGCCUACUGGGCACCAACUGACGCUGAGGCUCGAAAGUGUGGGUAGCAAACAGGAUUAGAUACCCUGGUAGUCCACACUGUAAACGAUGAUUACUAGGUGUUGGAGGAUUGACCCCUUCAGUGCCGCAGUUAACACAAUAAGUAAUCCACCUGGGGAGUACGACCGCAAGGUUGAAACUCAAAGGAAUUGACGGGGGCCCGCACAAGCAGUGGAGUAUGUGGUUUAAUUCGACGCAACGCGAAGAACCUUACCAAGUCUUGACAUCCUGCGACGAUGCUGGAAACAGUAUUUUCCUUCGGGAGCAAGGAGACAGGUGGUGCAUGGUUGUCGUCAGCUCGUGUCGUGAGAUGUUGGGUUAAGUCCCGCAACGAGCGCAACCCUUAUGGUCAGUUACUACGCAAGAGGACUCUGGCCAGACUGCCGUUGACAAAACGGAGGAAGGUGGGGAUGACGUCAAAUCAUCAUGCCCUUUAUGACUUGGGCUACACACGUACUACAAUGGCGUUAAACAAAGAGAAGCAAGACCGCGAGGUGGAGCAAAACUCAGAAACAACGUCCCAGUUCGGACUGCAGGCUGCAACUCGCCUGCACGAAGUCGGAAUUGCUAGUAAUCGCAGAUCAGC